GAUGAACGCUGGCGGCGUGCCUAAUACAUGCAAGUCGAGCGAACAGACGAGGAGGUUGCUCCUCUGACGUUAGCGGCGGACGGGUGAGUAACACGUGGAUAACCUACCUAUAAGACUGGGAUAACUUCGGGAAACCGGAGCUAAUACCGGAUAAUAUAUUGAACCGCAUGGUUCAAUAGUGAAAGACGGUUUUGCUGUCACUUAUAGAUGGAUCCGCGCCGCAUUAGCUAGUUGGUAAGGUAACGGCUUACCAAGGCAACGAUGCGUAGCCGACCUGAGAGGGUGAUCGGCCACACUGGAACUGAGACACGGUCCAGACUCCUACGGGAGGCAGCAGUAGGGAAUCUUCCGCAAUGGGCGAAAGCCUGACGGAGCAACGCCGCGUGAGUGAUGAAGGUCUUCGGAUCGUAAAACUCUGUUAUUAGGGAAGAACAAAUGUGUAAGUAACUAUGCACGUCUUGACGGUACCUAAUCAGAAAGCCACGGCUAACUACGUG
Molecule: ribosomal RNA, 497 nt
Filed under: uncultured bacterium
Lineage: Bacteria
Description: partial 16S ribosomal RNA
Rfam family: Bacterial small subunit ribosomal RNA
Source: RNAcentral